GCGUAGGGGGCAAGCGUUAUCCGGAAUUAUUGCGCGCCCCGCUCGCUCCUUUUUUUUUUUCCGCGUGCUUUUCCCGGCAAUAGCCCCCCCCUCGCAAGCCUUGCGAACUGGAAGACUUGAGUGCAGGAGAGGAAAGUGGAAUUCCUAGUGUAGCGGUGAAAUGCGUAGGUAUGAGGGGGAAGAAGUGGGGGGGGGGGGGGGGGAGGGAAGGGGGAGGAAAAGGAGGAAAGAAAGAGGGGGGAGAAAAAAG
This 250-nucleotide ribosomal RNA is filed under the name uncultured prokaryote. RNAcentral's name for it is "partial 16S rRNA". The record is from RNAcentral.